This is a non-coding RNA of Acanthosepion pharaonis, 108 nucleotides long. The record is from the annotation of a GenBank genome assembly. NCBI's taxonomy places the organism in Eukaryota, Metazoa, Mollusca, Cephalopoda, Sepiida, Sepiidae.
UACAACCAUAUCACGCAGAAACAACGGUUCUCGUAGGAUCAUCGAAGUUAAGCAACGUCGGGCCUGUUCAGUACCUAGAUGGGUGUCCACUUGCGAAUAUCAGGAGCU